CCCAUCAACGCCGCGUGAGGGAUGAGGGCCUUCGGGUUGUAAACCUCUUUUCUUGGGGAAGAAUUCUGACGGUACCCGGGGAAUAAGCCUCGGCCAACUACGUGCCAGCAGCCGCGGUAAUACGUAGGAGGCGAACGUUAUUCGGAUUUACUGGGCGUAAAGGGAGCGUAGGCGGUUCCUCAAGUCGGAUGUGAAAUCUUCUGACUCAAUCGGGAGGGGCCAUUUGAUACUGGGGGACUUGAGAGCAGCAGAGGAAAAUGGAAUUCCCGGUGUAGCGGUGAAAUGCGUAGAUAUUGGGAAGAACACCAGUGGCGAAGGCGAUUUUCCAGGCUGUUUCUGACGCUGAGGCUCGAAAGCGUGGGGAGCGAAGCGAUUAGAUACCCGGGUAGUCCACGCCCUAAACGGUGGACACUAGAUAUAGGAGGUAUCGACCUUUCCUGUGCCGAAGCUAACGCUUUAAUGG
RNAcentral lists this ribosomal RNA (463 nucleotides) under uncultured Chloroflexota bacterium. RNAcentral describes it as "bacterial SSU rRNA". It matches the Rfam family "Bacterial small subunit ribosomal RNA", at positions 387 to 866 of the family's 1533-position model. Lineage: Bacteria; Bacillati; Chloroflexota. The record is from RNAcentral.